AGGACAUGGAGGAGAUGAGGGCAGGGAUGCAUGGCUUGGAGAAGACGAUGGAAGGGAUGCGUGGCUUGGACAAAACGGUGGAGCAGCUUGCCCAGAACGUGGCAGCUCUAAUACACAAAGUGGAAGGGCUGAGCUAAAACUCCAAGAGAGAGGGGAAGGCUAGUGUGACGGAAGGAUCAGUGCAAUCAGAAGUGGAAAAGGUCUAGCAUGUAGACGAACCAGAGAAAUGGCAGGAAGGAAUAGAAGGAGCUAGCUUUGGGAGGCCCUCAACGAACACCUUCCAGAGCAGGGAUGAAGAUAGCUGGAAGUGUAAUCAAAAGUGGAGAAGGUCUAGCAUGUAGAUGAACCAGAGAAAUNGAACGUGGCAGCUCUAAUACACAAAGUGGAAGGGCUGAGCUAAAACUCCAAGAGAGAGGGGAAGGCUAGUGUGACGGAAGGAUCAGUGCAAUCAGAAGUGGAAAAGGUCUAGCAUGUAGACGAACCAGAGAAAUGGCAGGAAGGAAUAGGAGGAGCUAGCUUUGGGAGGCCCUCAACGAACACCUUCGAGAGCAGGGAUGAAGAUAGCUGGAGGAGGUGCAAAAAAUGGAGAUGCCCAUCUUCAGUGGUGGCUGUUUUGAGCAGAGAGGUAUUUCGAAGUAAAUGGGCUUACCAAACGAGAGAAGUUGGGAGCAGUGGUAGUCAGCUUGGAUGGAGAUGCACUAUCUUGGUUUCAAUGGGCAGCAAUUCCGGGAGGCGUUACUGCUGCGUUUCCGGCCUAUGCAAAAGGGGAACCUCUGUGAAAAAUUUCUGGCUAUAAAACAAAGGGGGACAGUAGCGGAAUUCCGGCGAGAAUUCGAGUUGCUUGCCGCUCCCCUGAAGUGCAUCUCCGACGAAGUGCUAGAAAGCACGUUUGUUAAUGGGUUGAGAAUUGAUAUAAGGGCUAAAGUGAGGCUCCUGGGUCCAAAGGGGUUGGGCCCAACUAUGGAGAUGGCCCAGAAAAUUGAAGAUAGGAACCUGAUUCUAAAAAAGCUCUAGGAACCCAUGAACCAUAAGUCAUUUAAGCCCACUUCCCGUACAAGUCGGGCAGAUGCGAGGCAAUUUGAGGGAUUUUUAACGAAGACCAUCACAGUCGGAGAGGGACCGACCACAACCAAGCCAUUGAAGAGGUUAUCCGAAGCUGAAUGGCAGCUCAGGCGUGACAAGGGGCUGUGUUUUAAGUGUGACGAGAAGUAUGUGGCCGGCCAUCAAUGUCGGAACCGCAAGUUGCGGGUUUUGCUGGUCGAAGGAGAGGGAGGUUACGAGGAAGAAGGGGAUGUCUGGGUGGAGGAAGAGCAGCCCUUCGAGGUAAGAGACACAGUCGAACUAUCACUCAACUCCGUGGUCGGCUUGACUACACUUGGGACGAUGAAGCUAAAAGGGAUUAUAGGAGGGUGUGGAGUGAUGGUAUUAAUUGAUUGUGGUGCAACCCACAACUUUAUAUCCCUUGAGCUGGUUCAGAAAUUGGAUCUUCCGAUGACAGCCACGACUAAUUAUGGAGUGGUGAUGGGGUCGGGUAAAUCCAUGCAAGGGAAGGGGAUAUGCAGGGGAGUAGCUCUGGAACUGCAAGGGCUAACUAUAGUGGAGGAUUUCUUGCCGCUAGAGUUAGGAAGUACGGAUGUGGUGUUGGGGAUGCAAUGGUUAGGAAGUUUAGGUGACAUGGAGGUCAGCUGGAAACGCUUGUCGAUGAGGUUCCAGUUGGGGAAUUCGGUGAGGAUAUUAAAAGGGGACCCCUGCCUUUAGAAAUCAGGGGUAUCAUUAAAGUUAAUGAUGAAAACCUUACAACAUGAAGGACAGGGAAUAUUGGUUGAAUGGAAGGACCCUUUGGGUAAAAUCGAAAUCAGCGAGGGAGGGGGAGUACCACCUGCAGGGAUACAAGGGAUAUUACAGCAACGUCAACAGGUGUUUAUUACACCAAUAGGGCUUCCCCCAAGCCGUGAUAUUGAUCAUGCCAUUCCCUUGAAGGGGAGGACUGAACCAAUUAACGUGAGGCCUUACAGAUAUCCCCAUUUUUAGAAGAACGAGAUUGAACAGUUGGUCCAGGAGAUGUUAACUGCUAGAAUUAUACAGCCUAGUGUCAGCCCGUUCUCCAGCCCUGUUUUACUUGUGAAGAAGAAAGACAGGAGUUGGAGGUUCUGUGUAGAUUACCGGGCCCUGAACAAAGCAACCAUUCCAGAUAAGCUCCCCAUCCCGAUCAUUGAUGAACCGCUGAACGAGCUACAUGGUGUUGCAAUCUUCUCCAAACUGGAUUUGAGGUCGGGAUAUCACCAAAUUAGAGUAAAGGAGGAUGUUCAUAAUACGGCGUUCCGGACUCACGAGGGGCACUACGAGUUCUUGGUCAUGCCCUUCGGCCUGUCUAAUGUGCCAGCCACAUUCCAAUCUCUGAUGAAUCAGGUCUUUUAGAGGCAGCUGAGGAAAUUUGUGUUGGUCUUCUUCGAUAACAUUCUGAUCUAUAGCAAGAGUUUGGAAGCCCAUGAGCAACACCUGCAGGAGGUAUUGACAAUCUUGGCAGCAAAUCAUCUCUACGCUAAUGCAAAAAAAGUGUCACUUUGGGCAGCAUCAGAUAGAAUAUUUGGGGCACUUAGUCUCAGCUAAAGGAGUAGCAGCAGAUCCUAGCAAGAUAGCAGCAAUGGUACAAUGGCCAAUCCCUCGUAACAUUUGAGAACUUCGCGGGUUUCUGGGAUUGACUGGCUACUGCAGGAGGUUUGUAGCCGGCUGUGGUGCAAUAUCAUGGCCUCUUAUGCAACAAUUACAGAAGGAUGCUUUCAAGUGGAACGAUGAUGCAGAAGCUGCCUUUCAAAAACUGAAGUUGGCUAUGACGAUAGUACCCGUAUUAGCUCUUCAGGAUUUCUCAAAGCCCUUCAUUAUCGAGACAGAGCCUCGGGCCACGGGUUAGGGACGGUUCUUAUGCAGUAGCAGCGCCCUAUUGCCUAUUACAGUCAGGUAUUGUCCGGAAAAUCUCUACACAAAUCCAUCUAUGAGAGGGAAUUAAUGGCCAUUGUCCUAGCCGUCCAAAAAUGGAGGCAUUAUGUGCUGGGAAGAAAAUUUGUUGUGCGUACUGAUCAACGAAGUCUAAAGUACUUGUUGGAACAGCGUGUAAUUCCUAGGAUUUCCAACGGUGGGUGACAAAAUUGAUGGGAUAUGAUUUGGAGAUCCACUAUCGUCCUGGAAAGGAGAACAAGGCGGCAGAUGCAUUGUCGCACCUAUAUCCCUUGGUUGAGUUAGCUACCUUAACCAGCGAAGGUGUUGUGGACAAUCAGUUGCUCGAUGCAGAAGUAGACAAGGAUUCAUACCUCUCUAAAAUAAAAAAAGGGCUGCAGGAAGAUCCAAAUGGGUAUCCACAUUUCUCAUUGGAGCACGGGAAGUGACUGUAUAAAGGACGCCUAGCACUCCCCAAUCCUCCACGCUAAUUUUGAUUUUCUUGAGAGAAUUCCACAGUAGCUUGGCCGGGGGGCAUUCAGGUUUCCUCCGCACUUAUAAGUGACUUACUAGUGAUCUAUAUUGGGUGGGAUUAAACAGGACAUUAAGAAGUUUGUGGAAGAAUGUCCGGUUUGCCAACAAAGUAAGAGUCUUGCACUUUCCCCAGCAGGCCUCUUGCAGCCCCUACCAGUUCCCGCUCUUAUAUGGGAAGAUGUUUCAAUGGACUUCAUAGAGGGCCUACCAAAAUCUAGAAAUUACAAUUCCCUGCUGGUGGGGGUUGAUCGCCUCAGUAAGUAUGCCCAUUUCUUGUCACGAAAACAUCCCUUUACUGUGGAGGGAGUAGCUGCAGUCUUCAUUAAGAAAAUUGUCAGACUCCAUGGUAUUCCAAGGUCCAUUGUCUCAGAUCGUGACAAAGUGUUUCUUUGUCACUUCUGGUCAAAACUUUUUCGCCGCCAGGGGACUAUCCUCCGUUGAAUCACGGCUUACCAUCCGCAAUCAGAUGGGCAGAUUGAGGUGGUUAAUCGGUGUGUGGAAACGUAUCUUCGAUGCUUUACCUAUGGCAAACCAAAGAGCUAGAGCAAUUGGAUUUCCUGGGCAGAGUACUGGUAUAAGACCACUUUUCGCUCCUCUACAAAUACAACACCUUUCAAAGCAGUCUAUGGAAGGGACCCUCCCCCACUCAUCCGUUACGGCAGCCAGACCACUACAAUUCAAUCAGUAGAGCAGCAAUUACAGACCAAAGAUCAUAUGUUGGAGGAGCUGAAAUCUCAUCUGCAACAUGCCCAGGAAAAGAUGAAGGAGUUAGCAGACCGUCACAGGCGAGAUGUCUAAUUGAGUAUUGGAGACUUGGUGUACAUCAAACUCCGGCCCUAUCGCCUCCGCUCCCUUGCAAGAAAACCCAAUGAGAAGCUGGGCCCUAAAUACUUCGGUCCGUUUGAGAUUGAAGAACGGAUAGGGCCUGUGGCGUAUCGUGUGAAGUUGCCACCUUCCGCAGCUAUAUAUCCUAUGUUCCAUGUCUCGCAACUUAAAAAAGCGCUUGGGGCACAAGGUGCAAGCCAAGAGUUUCCCCCACAUCUUGCAGGUAAUUUGGAAUGGGUCGUGGAACUUGAAAAGGUUUUAGAAACCCGUCAUAGGCUGACUGGCAUGGAAGUGCUUGCGUAGUGGAGGGGUCUGCCCCAAUCUGAAGCCUUUUGGGAAUCAGCUGAAUCAAUCUUGCAACACUUCCCCGACUUCCACUUUAAGGACAAGGUGUCUUUGAAAGGCGGGGGUAAUGUUAAGCCACCAAUUCACUACACUUAUUCUAGAAGGGCAAAGAAGCAGGUCUCUCAAAUGGAGGCGCGAAACGGGUAAACUAAUUUCUGUUGGGGGGAUA
This 4807-nucleotide long non-coding RNA is filed under the name Olea europaea subsp. europaea. Lineage: Eukaryota; Viridiplantae; Streptophyta; Magnoliopsida; Lamiales; Oleaceae. The record is from RNAcentral.